GACAGAGGGUGCGAACGCUGUUCGGAAUUACUGGGCGUAAAGCGCGUGUAGGCGGCAACGCAAGUCGGGCGGGAAAUCCCACGGCUCAACCGUGGAAGUGCACUCGAAACUGCGUAGCUAGAGUCCUGGAGAGGAAGGUGGAAUGCUUGGUGUAGAGGUGAAAUUCGUAGAUAUCAAGCGGAACACCGGUGGCGAAGGCGGCCUUCUGGACAGUGACUGACGCUGAGACGCGAAAGCGUGGGGAGCAAACAGG
RNAcentral lists this ribosomal RNA (253 nucleotides) under uncultured bacterium. RNAcentral describes it as "partial 16S ribosomal RNA". It matches the Rfam family "Bacterial small subunit ribosomal RNA", at positions 524 to 776 of the family's 1533-position model. The record is from RNAcentral.